RNAcentral lists this ribosomal RNA (477 nucleotides) under uncultured bacterium. Its description in RNAcentral is "partial 16S ribosomal RNA". It matches the Rfam family "Bacterial small subunit ribosomal RNA", at positions 28 to 507 of the family's 1533-position model. The record is from RNAcentral.
GAUGAACGCUGGCGGCGUGCCUAAUACAUGCAAGUCGAGCGGACAGAUGAGGAGCUUGCUCCUCUGACGUUAGCGGCGGACGGGUGAGUAACACGUGGAUAACCUACCUAUAUGUCUGGGAUCACUUCGAGACACCGGCGCUAAUACCGGAUAAUAUAUUGCACCGCAUGGUUCAAUAGUGAAAGACGGUUUUGCCGGCGGUUGUGGAUGGAUUCGCGCCGCAUCAGCUCGUUGGUAGGGUAGCGGCUUACCAAGGCGACGAUGGGUAGCCGGCCUGAGAGGGUGACCGGCGACAUUGGGACUUAGAUACGGCCCAGACGCCUACGGGAGGCAGCAGUGGGGAAUCUUGCACAAUGGGCGGAAGCCUGAUGAAGCAACGCCGCGUGCGGGAUGACGGCCUUCGGGGUGUAAACCGCUUUCGCCUGUGACGAAGCGUGAGUGACGGUAAUGGGUAAAGAAGCACCGGCUAACUACGUG